GCCGGGCAUGGUGGUGCAUGCCUGUAGUCCCAGCUACUCAGGAGGCUGAGGCAGGAGAAUCGCUUGAACCCGGGGGGCAGAGGGUGUGGUGAGCUGAGAUCAUGCCACUGCACUCAGGCUCGGGCAACAGAGCGAGAUUCCGUCUCAU
Unclassified non-coding RNA from Pongo abelii (Sumatran orangutan), 148 nucleotides. It matches the Rfam family "Metazoan signal recognition particle RNA". From Rfam's summary of the family: The signal recognition particle (SRP) is a universally conserved ribonucleoprotein. It is involved in the co-translational targeting of proteins to membranes. The record is from Ensembl. NCBI's taxonomy places the organism in Eukaryota, Metazoa, Chordata, Mammalia, Primates, Hominidae.